GGGACGAACGCUUGCGGCGUGCUUAACACAUGCAAGUCGAGCGGAAAGGCCUUUCGGGGUACUCGAGCGGCGAACGGGUGAGUAACACGUGAGUAAUCUGCCCAUCGCUUCAGGAUAGCCAUCGGAAA
Molecule: ribosomal RNA, 128 nt
Filed under: uncultured soil bacterium
Lineage: Bacteria
Description: partial 16S ribosomal RNA
Rfam family: Bacterial small subunit ribosomal RNA
Source: RNAcentral